AACUGCUUUUGUACGGAACGAAACGGCCUGCUUUAAUACAGCGGGCUAAUGACGGUACCGUAAGAAUAAGCACCGGCUAACUACGUGCCAGCAGCCGCGGUAAUACGUAGGGUGCGAGCGUUAAUCGGAAUUACUGGGCGUAAAGCGUGCGCAGGCGGUUAUAUAAGACAGUUGUGAAAUCCCCGGGCUCAACCUGGGAAUUGCAUCUGUGACUGUAUAGCUAGAGUACGGUAGAGGGGGAUGGAAUUCCGCGUGUAGCAGUGAAAUGCGUAGAUAUGCGGAGGAACACCGAUGGCGAAGGCAAUCCCCUGGACCUGUACUGACGCUCAUGCACGAAAGCGUGGGGAGCAAACAGGAUUAGAUACCCUGGUAGUCCACGCCCUAAACGAUGUCAACUGGUUGUUGGGUGCAUUAGUACUCAGUAACGAAGCUAACGCGUGAA
Molecule: ribosomal RNA, 442 nt
Filed under: bacterium 5a.4
Lineage: Bacteria
Description: bacterial SSU rRNA
Rfam family: Bacterial small subunit ribosomal RNA
Source: RNAcentral